UUACUCCUACGGGAGGCAGCAGUGGGGAAUUUUGGACAAUGGGGGCAACCCUGAUCCAGCCAUUCCGCGUGAGUGAAGAAGGCCUUCGGGUUGUAAAGCUCUUUUGUCCGGAGCGAAACGGGCGCGGUGAAUAUCCGCGUCUACUGACGGUACCGGAAGAAUAAGCACCGGCUAACUACGUGCCAGCAGCCGCGGUAAUACGGGGGGUGCAAGCGUUGUUCGGAAUUAUUGGGCGUAAAGAGCGUGUAGGCGGUUUGUUAAGUCUGAUGUGAAAGCCCUGGGCUCAACCCAGGAAGUGCAUUGGAAACUGUCAGACUUGAAUACGGGAGAGGGCAGUGGAAUUCCUAGUGUAGGAGUGAAAUCCGUAGAUAUUAGGAGGAACACCGGUGGCGAAGGCGGCUGCCUGGACCGAUAUUGACGCUGAGACGCGAAAGCGUGGGUAGCAAACAGGAUUAGAUACCCUGGUAGUCCACGCCGUAAACGAUGAGAACUAGGUGUUGCGGGUAUUGACCCCUGCAGUGCCGCAGCUAACGCAUUAAGUUCUCCGCCUGGGAAGUACGGUCGCAAGACUAAAACUCAAAUGAAUUGACGG
This 592-nucleotide ribosomal RNA is filed under the name uncultured Geobacteraceae bacterium. RNAcentral describes it as "bacterial SSU rRNA". It matches the Rfam family "Bacterial small subunit ribosomal RNA", at positions 333 to 916 of the family's 1533-position model. The record is from RNAcentral. Lineage: Bacteria; Pseudomonadati; Thermodesulfobacteriota; Desulfuromonadia; Geobacterales; Geobacteraceae.